GAUGAACGCUGGCGGCGUGCCUAAUACAUGCAAGUCGAGCGAAUGGAUUAAGAGCUUGCUCUUAUGAAGUUAGCGGCGGACGGGUGAGUAACACGUGGGUAACCUGCCCAUAAGACUGGGAUAACCCCGGGAAACCGGGGCUAAUACCGGAUAACAUUUUGAACCGCAUGGUUCGAAAUUGAAAGGCGGCUUCGGCUGUCACUUAUGGAUGGACCGGCGUCGCAUUAGCUAGUUGGUGAGGUAACGGCUCACCAAGGCAACGAUGCGUAGCCGGCCUGAGAGGGUGAUCGGCCGCACUGGGACUGAGACACGGCCCAGACUCCUACGGGAGGCAGCAGUAGGGAAUCUUCCGCAAUGGACGAAAGUCUGACGGAGCAACGCCGCGUGAGUGAUGAAGGCUUUCGGGUCGUAAAACUCUGUUGUUAGGGAAGAACAAGUGCUAGUUGAAUAAGCUGGCACCUUGACGGUACCUAACCAGAAAGCCACGGCUAACUACGUGCCAGCCGCCGCAGUAA
This 515-nucleotide ribosomal RNA is filed under the name uncultured bacterium. RNAcentral's name for it is "partial 16S ribosomal RNA". It matches the Rfam family "Bacterial small subunit ribosomal RNA", at positions 28 to 523 of the family's 1533-position model. The record is from RNAcentral.